This 325-nucleotide ribosomal RNA is filed under the name uncultured eukaryote. RNAcentral's name for it is "partial 18S ribosomal RNA". It matches the Rfam family "Eukaryotic small subunit ribosomal RNA", at positions 1470 to 1796 of the family's 1831-position model. The record is from RNAcentral.
CCCUUAGAUGUUCUGGGCCGCACGCGCGCUACACUGAUGCAUUCAACGAGCCUAUCCUUGACCGACAGGUCCGGGUAAUCUUUGAAUCUGCAUCGUGACGGGGAUAGAUUAUUGCAAUUAUUAAUCUUCAACGAGGAAUGCCUAGUAGGCGCAAGUCAUCAGCUUGCGUCGAUUACGUCCCUGCCCUUUGUACACACCGCCCGUCGCUCCUACCGAUUGGGUGUGCUGGUGAAAUGUUCGGAUCGGCCGUUUGUCGCGGUUUCCGCGGCUCGUGGCUGAGAAGUUCAAUAAACCCUCCCACCUAGAGGAAGGAGAAGUCGUAACA